UACGGAGGAUCCAAGCGUUAUCCGGAAUUACUGGGCGUAAAGAGUUGCGUAGGUGGCAUGGUAAGUUGAUAGUGAAAUCCUGGGGCUCAACCCCUUACCCAUUAUCAAAACUGCCAAGCUUGAGGACGAGAGAGGUUACUGGAAUUCCUAGUGUAGGAGUGAAAUCCGUAGAUAUUAGGAGGAACACCGAUGGCGUAGGCAGGUAACUGGCUCGUUCCUGACACUAAGGCACGAAAGCGUGGGGAGCGAACGGG
RNAcentral lists this ribosomal RNA (254 nucleotides) under uncultured prokaryote. RNAcentral describes it as "partial 16S ribosomal RNA". It matches the Rfam family "Bacterial small subunit ribosomal RNA", at positions 524 to 776 of the family's 1533-position model. The record is from RNAcentral.